RNAcentral lists this long non-coding RNA (671 nucleotides) under Callithrix jacchus (white-tufted-ear marmoset). Its description in RNAcentral is "lncRNA (ENSCJAG00000069831.1)". Lineage: Eukaryota; Metazoa; Chordata; Mammalia; Primates; Cebidae. The record is from RNAcentral.
CAUAGAUUUAGUUCUUCUUUAUUCAAUCUGAUAAUCUCUGCCAUUUUAAGUGGAGUAGCUAUGGACUGAAUCAAGUUGAAUAAAAUUCACACUUUAAAGGACUAGCCACUUACGUGAUUGUAUUUGGAGAUGAGGCCUUUGAGUGGCAAUUAGCGUUAAAUGAGGGCAUGAAGCUCUCGUAAAAUUAGCAGCUUUAUCAGAAGAGGCAGAGAGACACUGUGUUCUCUUUAUGAUGUGAGGACAUAACUGGAAGGCAUCUGUCUGCAAGCCAGGAAGAGGGCUGAACUUGUCACCACCUUGAACUUGGACAUUAGCCUCCAAAACUAUCUGGCUGGAGUUUGUAUGAGAGAGAGCAAUGUUUUCAAGUUGUAUUUUGCUUCCCAGCUGCUAUUUGUGCAGUCUACACUGGUGAGAGUUUAAUUAGAAAUCUAUGAAUGUCUAGUGUUGUAGCUUGAAAUUGACUUUUUGCCCCUCAGAAUUGAUUCUUAGUUAAACCUGGUCUUCAGACUGCAAUCUGUCAUUAAGAAAUCAGAGUCAGAAACAAAUAAAGCAAUCUUUAGUCCUAUCAUUCUCUCUUUGUUCUGACUCUACAACUUCAUUCUGUUGAGUAAUAAAAUAGAUCUGAAGUGUUUUCCAUGAUUAUAAUAUUCAAACCAAACAACUAGUUCUCU